AUACUAUGGUUUCUCUUGAACAUGAGUAAAUCUUUUGCUUUUUACUAAGGAUUUCUGUGGAGAGGAACAACAAUGAGUUUUGGGGAAUUUUUUUGAUGCCUGGCUAAUGCUGGGCC
Molecule: small nuclear RNA, 116 nt
Organism: Rana temporaria (common frog)
Lineage: Eukaryota; Metazoa; Chordata; Amphibia; Anura; Ranidae
Product: U5 spliceosomal RNA
Exons: 1
Source: RefSeq, a predicted model, not a curated record